This 62-nucleotide transfer RNA is filed under the name Anthrenus verbasci (variegated carpet beetle). RNAcentral's name for it is "tRNA-Pro". Lineage: Eukaryota; Metazoa; Arthropoda; Insecta; Coleoptera; Dermestidae. The record is from RNAcentral. RNAcentral also lists the same sequence under 1 other name.
CAGAGGAUAGUUUAUGUAAAAUAAUAAUUUUGGAGAUUAUUGAAGGGGUUUCUCUUCUCUGA